AGGCUCAGAUUGAACGCUGGCGGCAGGCUUAACACAUGCAAGUCGAGCGGAGAUGAGGUGCUUGCACCUUAUCUUAGCGGCGGACGGGUGAGUAAUGCUUAGGAAUCUGCCUAUUAGUGGGGGACAACAUUCCGAAAGGAAUGCUAAUACCGCAUACGCCCUACGGGGGAAAGCAGGGGAUCUUCGGACCUUGCGCUAAUAGAUGAGCCUAAGUCGGAUUAGCUAGUUGGUGGGGUAAAGGCCUACCAAGGCGACGAUCUGUAGCGGGUCUGAGAGGAUGAUCCGCCACACUGGGACUGAGACACGGCCCAGACUCCUACGGGAGGCAGCAGUGGGGAAUAUUGGACAAUGGGCGGAAGCCUGAUCCAGCCAUGCCGCGUGUGUGAAGAAGGCCUUUUGGUUGUAAAGCACUUUAAGCGAGGAGGAGGCUACUUAGAUUAAUACUCUAGGAUAGUGGACGUUACUCGCAGAAUAAGCACCGGCUAACUCUGUGCCAGCAGCCGCGGUAAUACAGAGGGUGCGAGCGUUAAUCGGAUUUACUGGGCGUAAAGCGUGCGUAGGCGGCUGAUUAAGUCGGAUGUGAAAUCCCUGAGCUUAACUUAGGAAUUGCAUUCGAUACUGGUCAGCUAGAGUAUGGGAGAGGAUGGUAGAAUUCCAGGUGUAGCGGUGAAAUGCGUAGAGAUCUGGAGGAAUACCGAUGGCGAAGGCAGCCAUCUGGCCUAAUACUGACGCUGAGGUACGAAAGCAUGGGGAGCAAACAGGAUUAGAUACCCUGGUAGUCCAUGCCGUAAACGAUGUCUACUAGCCGUUGGGGCCUUUGAGGCUUUAGUGGCGCAGCUAACGCGAUAAGUAGACCGCCUGGGGAGUACGGUCGCAAGACUAAAACUCAAAUGAAUUGACGGGGGCCCGCACAAGCGGUGGAGCAUGUGGUUUAAUUCGAUGCAACGCGAAGAACCUUACCUGGCCUUGACAUAGUAAGAACUUUCCAGAGAUGGAUUGGUGCCUUCGGGAACUUACAUACAGGUGCUGCAUGGCCGUCGUCAGCUCGUGUCGUGAGAUGUUGGGUUAAGUCCCGCAACGAGCGCAACCCUUUUCCUUAUUUGCCAGCGAGUAAUGUCGGGAACUUUAAGGAUACUGCCAGUGACAAACUGGAGGAAGGCGGGGACGACGUCAAGUCAUCAUGGCCCUUACGGCCAGGGCUACACACGUGCUACAAUGGUCGGUACAAAGGGUUGCUACCUAGCGAUAGGAUGCUAAUCUCAAAAAGCCGAUCGUAGUCCGGAUUGGAGUCUGCAACUCGACUCCAUGAAGUCGGAAUCGCUAGUAAUCGCGGAUCAGAAUGCCGCGGUGAAUACGUUCCCGGGCCUUGUACACACCGCCCGUCACACCAUGGGAGUUUGUGCACCAGAAGUAGGUAGUCUAACCGCAAGGAGGACGCUACC
Molecule: ribosomal RNA, 1442 nt
Filed under: Acinetobacter tjernbergiae
Lineage: Bacteria; Pseudomonadati; Pseudomonadota; Gammaproteobacteria; Moraxellales; Moraxellaceae
Description: bacterial SSU rRNA
Rfam family: Bacterial small subunit ribosomal RNA
Source: RNAcentral